GAUAUAGGUGCUCCUUUGCGUAAAGGGGGCUGAAAAAGGGAAGCGGGUGUGAUUCCCGCGCAAGUCCGUUGCUGUGAAUACCGAGCACAUUCCAAAAUACCACUGGGAAACUGGGAAGGGGGAGUGUUGCGCAGACGUAUGAGCCAGAAUACCUGCCUAUCGUC
Molecule: non-coding RNA, 164 nt
Filed under: uncultured Anaeromassilibacillus sp.
Lineage: Bacteria; Bacillati; Bacillota; Clostridia; Eubacteriales; Acutalibacteraceae
Source: RNAcentral